This is a long non-coding RNA of Salvelinus sp. IW2-2015, 460 nucleotides long. RefSeq lists it as uncharacterized. The record is from RefSeq and is a predicted model, not a curated record. NCBI's taxonomy places the organism in Eukaryota, Metazoa, Chordata, Actinopteri, Salmoniformes, Salmonidae.
AGGGGACGUUAGCGUGUGUAUGUUUACUCACUACCUCUCCUGUUCUGAUGUGUUGUUACUCCAGCUGAAUGGAGACAUCCCUCCAGGUUAAAGAAGAUGUGCUCAUGAGGUCAUCCUGGACUUCAUCCGCUCCAGACCACCUCUCAACCCUGUUACUGCUAGGAAGUUGAAGCCUCACCCUGCGUGGCCGCAGACCCUCCAUGAGCGUCUCUUAGAGGGCAUCAAACAGGAGAGGAAGCUACGGCCUGUAUCACCUGACAUGAUCCGACGCAACCGCCUGGGAAGAACCGGUGUUGAUGACCGGACCAUAUUGGAGAUGUUCCCUCCUAUAGGAGCAGUCAAAAGCAUCAGCACCCCUCAAGAUCCGAACCGCAGCUCAGACCUGUCCACUCCAGAUGCCCCAAGGAAGCACGUCGCCAGCACCCUGUCCUGUCCACCAGCUCCCGGGCUGGGAGGGGCU